GGAAACCCUGAUCCAGCCAUGCCGCGUGAAUGAUGAAGGCCUUCCGGGUUGUAAAGUUCUUUUGACGGGGACGAUGAUGACGGUACCCGUAGAAUAAGCACCGGCUAACUUCGUGCCAGCAGCCGCGGUAAUACGAAGGGUGCUAGCGUUGUUCGGAAUUACUGGGCGUAAAGGGCGCGUAGGCGGCUUGGCAAGUUGGGUGUGAAAGCCCGGGGCUCAACCCCGGAAUUGCACUCAAGACUGCCUUGCUUGAAUUCGGUAGAGGUUGGUGGAAUUCCCAGUGUAGAGGUGAAAUUCGUAGAGAUUGGGAAGAACACCCGUGGCGAAGGCGGCCAACUGGACCGACAUUGACGCUGAGGCGCGAAAGCGUGGGGAUCAAACAGGAUUAGAUACCCUGGUAGUCCACGCCGUAAACGAUGCAUGCUAGACGUUGGAACCCUCAGGGUUCUUGUGUCGCAGCUAACGCACUAAGCAUGCCGCCUGGGGAGUACGGCCGCAAGGUUGAAACUCAAAUGAAUUGACGGGGGCCCGCACAAGCGGUGGAGUAUGUGGUUUAAUUCGACGCAACGCGAAGAACCUUACCAACCCUUGACAUGUCCGCUAUGGGCCUGAGAGAUCAGGUCCUUCACUUCGGGUGGGCGGAACACAGGUGCUGCAUGGCUGUCGUCAGCUCGUGUCGUGAGAUGUUGGGUUAAGUCCCGCAACGAGCGCAACCCUCAUCUUCAGUUGCCCCCGGGUCAGGCCGGGCACUCUGAAGAAACCGCCGGUGACAAGCCGGAGGAAGGCGGGGAUGACGUCAAGUCCUCAUGGCCCUUACGGGUUGGGCUACACACGUACUACAAUGGUGGUGACAGAGGGCAGCGAAGGCGCGAGCUGGAGCUAAUCCUCAAAAGCCAUCUCAGUUCGGAUUGCACUCUGCAACUCGAGUGCAUGAAGUUGGAAUCGCUAGUAAUCGCAGAUCAGCACGCUGCGGUGAAUACGUUCCCGGGCCU
RNAcentral lists this ribosomal RNA (992 nucleotides) under uncultured bacterium. Its description in RNAcentral is "bacterial SSU rRNA". It matches the Rfam family "Bacterial small subunit ribosomal RNA", at positions 376 to 1381 of the family's 1533-position model. The record is from RNAcentral.